GAUAAGUGCGUGGCGGUGGCGACGGUAAUACGUAGGGGGCAAGGGUGGUACGGAUUUAAUGGGCGGAAAGCGCGAGCAGGCGGUUCCUUAAGUCUGAUGUGAAAGCCCACGGCUCAACCGUGGAAGGUCAUUGGAAACUGGGGAACUUGAGUGCAGAAGAGGAGAGUGGAAUUCCAUGUGUAGCGGUGAAAUGCGUAGAUAUAUGGAGGAACACCAGUGGCGAAGGCGACUCUCUGGUCUGUAACUGACGCUGAGGCUCGAAAGCGUGGGGAGCAAACAGGAUUAGAUACCCGAGUAGUC
RNAcentral lists this ribosomal RNA (300 nucleotides) under uncultured Lactobacillus sp. RNAcentral describes it as "bacterial SSU rRNA". It matches the Rfam family "Bacterial small subunit ribosomal RNA", at positions 496 to 795 of the family's 1533-position model. The record is from RNAcentral. Lineage: Bacteria; Bacillati; Bacillota; Bacilli; Lactobacillales; Lactobacillaceae.